GUGGGUUGCACCAGAAGACGGUGCGCUAACCGCAAGGAGGCAGCCGGCCACGGUAGGGUCAGCGACUGGGGUGAAGUCGUAACAAGGUAGCCGUAGGUGAACCUGCAGAAGGAUCA
RNAcentral lists this ribosomal RNA (116 nucleotides) under uncultured eukaryote. RNAcentral describes it as "partial small subunit ribosomal RNA". It matches the Rfam family "Bacterial small subunit ribosomal RNA", at positions 1410 to 1525 of the family's 1533-position model. The record is from RNAcentral.